UACGUAGGGUGCGAGCGUUAAUCGGAAUUACUGGGCGUAAAGCGUGCGCAGGCGGCUUGCCAAGUCAGAUGUGAAAGCCCCGGGCUCAACCCCGGGAACUGCGUUUGAAACUGGCAGGCUAGAGUUUGGCAGAGGGGGGUGGAAUUCCACGUGUAGCAGUGAAAUGCGUAGAGAUGUGGAGGAACACCGAUGGCGAAGGCAGCCCCCUGGGCCAAAACUGACGCUCAGGCACGAAAGCGUGGGGAGCAAACAGG
RNAcentral lists this ribosomal RNA (254 nucleotides) under uncultured bacterium. RNAcentral describes it as "partial 16S ribosomal RNA". It matches the Rfam family "Bacterial small subunit ribosomal RNA", at positions 524 to 776 of the family's 1533-position model. The record is from RNAcentral.